Molecule: ribosomal RNA, 467 nt
Filed under: uncultured bacterium
Lineage: Bacteria
Description: partial 16S ribosomal RNA
Rfam family: Bacterial small subunit ribosomal RNA
Source: RNAcentral
GACGAACGCUGGCGGCGUGCUUAACACAUGCAAGUCGAACGGAAAGGCCCUGCUUUUGUGGGGUGCUCGAGUGGCGAACGGGUGAGUAACACGUGAGUAACCUGCCCUUGACUUUGGGAUAACUUCAGGAAACUGGGGCUAAUACCGGAUAGGAGCUCCUGCUGCAUGGUGGGGGUUGGAAAGUUUCGGCGGUUGGGGAUGGACUCGCGGCUUAUCAGCUUGUUGGUGGGGUAGUGGCUUACCAAGGCUUUGACGGGUAGCCGGCCUGAGAGGGUGACCGGCCACAUGGGAAUUGAGAUACGGCCCAGACUCCUACGGGAGGCAGCAGUGGGGAAUAUUGCACAAUGGGCGGAAGCCUGAUGCAGCAACGCCGCGGGCGGGAGGACGGCCUUCGGGUGGUAAACCGCUUUCGCCUGUGACGAAGCGUGAGUGACGGUAAUGGGUAAAGAAGCACCGGCUAACUACGU